CAGUCGCCGCGGGAAUACGUAGGGUGCAAGCGUUAAUCGGAAUUACUGGGCGUAAAGCGUGCGCAGGCGGUUAUAUAAGUCAGAUGUGAAAUCCCCGGGCUCAACCUGGGAACUGCAUUUGAGACUGUAUGGCUAGAGUGUGUCAGAGGGGGGUAGAAUUCCACGUGUAGCAGUGAAAUGCGUAGAUAUGUGGAGGAAUACCGAUGGCGAAGGCAGCCCCCUGGGAUAACACUGACGCUCAUGCACGAAAGCGUGGGGAGCAAACAGGAUUAGAUACCCGCGUAGUCCCUGUCUCUUAUCC
This 301-nucleotide ribosomal RNA is filed under the name uncultured bacterium. RNAcentral's name for it is "partial 16S ribosomal RNA". It matches the Rfam family "Bacterial small subunit ribosomal RNA", at positions 509 to 809 of the family's 1533-position model. The record is from RNAcentral.